This is a long non-coding RNA of Cucurbita maxima (winter squash), 546 nucleotides long. RefSeq lists it as uncharacterized. Lineage: Eukaryota; Viridiplantae; Streptophyta; Magnoliopsida; Cucurbitales; Cucurbitaceae. The transcript has 2 exons. The record is from RefSeq and is a predicted model, not a curated record.
AUUUCUUUGACGAUCGAUAGCGAAUUUGGACCGGAGGAGCAGCCCAGAUCGGCGAUGCCGAAGCUCGCAGGAGUGCCGGUGGAAAGAUAAUUUCGUCUAAACCACCGGCGAAAAAUAAUUGUGAUAUUAGUGAAAGUGUGACUUGGAUUUUGUGGUGACCAAAUCAUUGGGGGAAAACUGGUUGGAAAGGUGUUAUUUGAAGCCUAUGGUUAAAGUGGAGAAAUGGAGCAAAGAAAACACCUUAAGAGUAAUGGCCAAAUUUGGGCACCAAAGACCACCACCAACACUGCGGAAGCACUACUCUAGAGCACCAUGGCUCUACUGGUAGCUCGUCAUUGGCUUGUGUGAUUUUCCUUCUCUUAACCUUAGUUGAGCUUAUUAUAUGUUAGGCCAUUUAAAUGAGAAAUAACUUCAAAGUUGUCCCGACAGACCCAACGAAGUUAGACCAUGAUUUUGAUAUCGAUAUUGAUUUGUAUGAUGCUAUUUAACUAGGAACAUAAAAGUUUCUCAAAUGGUCUUUUAUUGAUGGAGAUAGUGUUGAUAGUA